This 261-nucleotide ribosomal RNA is filed under the name Triticum aestivum (bread wheat). Its description in RNAcentral is "partial small subunit ribosomal RNA". Lineage: Eukaryota; Viridiplantae; Streptophyta; Magnoliopsida; Poales; Poaceae. The record is from RNAcentral.
AUGGCGUCCACCAAGGUGCAGCGGAUCAUGACCCAGCCCAUCAACCUCAUCUUCCGCUUCCUCCAGAGCAAGGCGCGCAUCCAGAUCUGGCUCUUCGAGCAGAAGGACGUGCGGAUCGAGGGCAGGAUCAUCGUCUUCGAUGAAUACAUGAAUCUGGUCUUGGAGGAUGCUGAGGAGAUCAACAUCAAGAAAGACACUAGGAAGUCUCUUGGUCGGAUCCUCUUGAAAGGAGAUAACAUUACACUAAUGAUGAACACGUAA